RNAcentral lists this ribosomal RNA (1100 nucleotides) under Chryseobacterium sp. M133. RNAcentral describes it as "bacterial SSU rRNA". It matches the Rfam family "Bacterial small subunit ribosomal RNA", at positions 28 to 1135 of the family's 1533-position model. The record is from RNAcentral. Lineage: Bacteria; Pseudomonadati; Bacteroidota; Flavobacteriia; Flavobacteriales; Weeksellaceae.
GAUGAACGCUAGCGGGAGGCCUAACACAUGCAAGCCGAGCGGUAUUUGUUCUUCGGAACAGAGAGAGCGGCGUACGGGUGCGGAACACGUGUGCAACCUGCCUUUAUCAGGGGGAUAGCCUUUCGAAAGGAAGAUUAAUACCCCAUAAUAUAAUUGAUGGCAUCAUUGAUUAUUGAAAACUCCGGUGGAUAGAGAUGGGCACGCGCAAGAUUAGAUAGUUGGUAGGGUAACGGCCUACCAAGUCAGUGAUCUUUAGGGGGCCUGAGAGGGUGAUCCCCCACACUGGUACUGAGACACGGACCAGACUCCUACGGGAGGCAGCAGUGAGGAAUAUUGGACAAUGGGUGAGAGCCUGAUCCAGCCAUCCCGCGUGAAGGACGACGGUUCUAUGGAUUGUAAACUUCUUUUAUACUGGGAUAAACCUACUUACGUGUAAGUAGCUGAAGGUACAGUAUGAAUAAGCACCGGCUAACUCCGUGCCAGCAGCCGCGGUAAUACGGAGGGUGCAAGCGUUAUCCGGAUUUAUUGGGUUUAAAGGGUCCGUAGGCGGAUCUGUAAGUCAGUGGUGAAAUCUCAUAGCUUAACUAUGAAACUGCCAUUGAUACUGCAGGUCUUGAGUAAAGUAGAAGUGGCUGGAAUAAGUAGUGUAGCGGUGAAAUGCAUAGAUAUUACUUAGAACACCAAUUGCGAAGGCAGGUCACUAUGUUUUAACUGACGCUGAUGGACGAAAGCGUGGGGAGCGAACAGGAUUAGAUACCCUGGUAGUCCACGCCGUAAACGAUGCCUAACUCGUUUUUGGGCUUUCGGGUUCAGAGACUAAGCGAAAGUGAUAAGUUAGCCACCUGGGGAGUACGUUCGCAAGAAUGAAACUCAAAGGAAUUGACGGGGGCCCGCACAAGCGGUGGAUUAUGUGGUUUAAUUCGAUGAUACGCGAGGAACCUUACCAAGGCUUAAAUGGGAAUUGACAGGUUUAGAAAUAGACUUUUCUUCGGACAAUUUUCAAGGUGCUGCAUGGUUGUCGUCAGCUCGUGCCGUGAGGUGUUAGGUUAAGUCCUGCAACGAGCGCAACCCCUGUCACUAGUUGCCAUCAUUCAGUUGGG